UGCAGCCGGGUAAGUCCUGUGCGACCAGCUCCUGCUGAAUUCCCCCAGGGUCGGAAGGCAGCAAGGGUAGGCGGUUGUAGCGGUGCGACACAGGUAGCUUACCCACUU
Mariniphaga anaerophila is the source of this 108-nucleotide non-coding RNA. NCBI's taxonomy places the organism in Bacteria, Pseudomonadati, Bacteroidota, Bacteroidia, Marinilabiliales, Prolixibacteraceae. The record is from Rfam.